Molecule: transfer RNA, 73 nt
Filed under: Selaginella moellendorffii
Lineage: Eukaryota; Viridiplantae; Streptophyta; Lycopodiopsida; Selaginellales; Selaginellaceae
Rfam family: tRNA
About the family: Transfer RNA (tRNA) molecules are approximately 80 nucleotides in length. Their secondary structure includes four short double-helical elements and three loops (D, anti-codon, and T loops).
Source: Rfam by way of RNAcentral
GGGGAUGUAGCUCAGAUGGUAGAGUGCUCGCUUAAUAUGCAAGAGGCACUGGGAUCAAUACCUAGUAUCUCCA